RNAcentral lists this ribosomal RNA (616 nucleotides) under Pseudomonas moorei. Its description in RNAcentral is "bacterial SSU rRNA". It matches the Rfam family "Bacterial small subunit ribosomal RNA", at positions 83 to 695 of the family's 1533-position model. Lineage: Bacteria; Pseudomonadati; Pseudomonadota; Gammaproteobacteria; Pseudomonadales; Pseudomonadaceae. The record is from RNAcentral.
CUCUCUGAUUCAGCGGCGGACGGGUGAGUAAUGCCUAGGAAUCUGCCUGGUAGUGGGGGGCAACGUUUCGAAAGGAACGCUAAUACCGCAUACGUCCUACGGGAGAAAGCAGGGGACCUUCGGGCCUUGCGCUAUCAGAUGAGCCUAGGUCGGAUUAGCUAGUUGGUGAGGUAAUGGCUCACCAAGGCGACGAUCCGUAACUGGUCUGAGAGGAUGAUCAGUCACACUGGAACUGAGACACGGUCCAGACUCCUACGGGAGGCAGCAGUGGGGAAUAUUGGACAAUGGGCGAAAGCCUGAUCCAGCCAUGCCGCGUGUGUGAAGAAGGUCUUCGGAUUGUAAAGCACUUUAAGUUGGGAGGAAGGGCAGUAAGUUAAUACCUUGCUGUUUUGACGUUACCGACAGAAUAAGCACCGGCUAACUUCGUGCCAGCAGCCGCGGUAAUACGAAGGGUGCAAGCGUUAAUCGGAAUUACUGGGCGUAAAGCGCGCGUAGGUGGUUUGUUAAGUUGGAUGUGAAAGCCCCGGGCUCAACCUGGGAACUGCAUCCAAAACUGGCAAGCUAGAGUAUGGCAGAGGGUGGUGGAAUUUCCUGUGUAGCGGUGAAAUGCGUAGAU